Molecule: long non-coding RNA, 757 nt
Filed under: Rattus norvegicus (Norway rat)
Lineage: Eukaryota; Metazoa; Chordata; Mammalia; Rodentia; Muridae
Description: long non-coding RNA NONRATT005627
Source: RNAcentral
GAGCCUCGGUGACCAGGAGAGUCGGCGCAAGGCCCGAGGUGAGGAUCCCAAAUUCACAGCCGCGUAUCUUCGCCCGAUUCUUGGGACUACACUCUUCCCUCUCUGAAUAAUGCCACCCCCUGCCCUAAAAGACACCCCCCAAGGCCACUUCUGAGACCCUCAGAGUCCCUAAAAGGCCUGCCGGCCCGCCCGCUAGUCUUUGCAAACAAUGAUUGGCUACCUUAGCCUAUCUCCUGCCUCCUGUCUCCUGUCCCUAUCCUGAGUUCUUGUUUGCGAUUGGUCAAUGGACCUGCCUGUCUGUUGUUGGUGAGCUCUGAUUAGUAGGAUGCCUUUCUUCCGAUUGGAGGAUGUCUUAUUCAUAGCCUCGGUCCCGCGUACCUCCAGUUCUAUUACGAUUGGGUUUAGGGCACGCCCAUCCACCCGUCUGUUCCCCCCUAUUGGCUAGCUCAACCAAAAGCUCUACCUUUAAAGUGUUGCCUCUUCUGACCGGCCUCAACUUUAGCUCCUCCCAUUGGUUGGCUGGAUCCAUGCCCCUCCUUGAGUUAACCCAGUCCCUCAUACCUUCUACAGCCCUUCCCUAACUGCAGCCUUAAAUUCCUGUGCUACCCAACUAGAUCGUGAUGUUGAUUGGAGAGAUGAGAAUACCCCGCAGGCUCAGAUUCGCCACCUCUCCCCCUCCCCCCCAACCCCCUCGCUCAGUAGCGAACCAGAAAGCUCGCUGGAGUUUGGCAGCCAGGGUAGGGUGAGGCCGGAAGAG